Molecule: ribosomal RNA, 608 nt
Filed under: uncultured bacterium
Lineage: Bacteria
Description: bacterial SSU rRNA
Rfam family: Bacterial small subunit ribosomal RNA
Source: RNAcentral
CCUACGGGAGGCAGCAGUAAGGAAUAUUGGUCAAUGGACGAAAGUCUGAACCAGCCAUGCCGCGUGAAGGAUUAAGGCCCUCUGGGUUGUAAACUUCUUUUAUCUGGGACGAAAAAAGGGUAUUCUUACUCACUUGACGGUACCAGAGGAAUAAGCACCGGCUAACUCCGUGCCAGCAGCCGCGGUAAUACGGAGGGUGCAAGCGUUAUCCGGAUUUACUGGGUUUAAAGGGUGCGUAGGUGGGCUUGUAAGUCAGUGGUGAAAUCUCCGGGCUUAACCCGGAAACUGCCAUUGAUACUAUAGGCCUUGAAUUAUCUGGAGGUAAGCGGAAUAUGUCAUGUAGCGGUGAAAUGCUUAGAUAUGACAUAGAACACCAAUUGCGAAGGCAGCUUACUACGGAUAUAUUGACACUGAGGCACGAAAGCGUGGGGAUCAAACAGGAUUAGAUACCCUGUAGUCCACGCCCUAAACGAUGGAUACUCGACAUCAGCGAUACACUGUUGGUGUCUGAGCGAAAGCAUUAAGUAUCCACCUGGGAAGUACGAUCGCAAGAUUGAAACUCAAAUGAGUAGAGCGNGAGAGNGCGACGACGACGACGAGGGAGGAGG